AACGCUAGCUACAGGCUUAACACAUGCAAGUCGAGGGGAAACGACAUCGAAAGCUUGCUUUUGAUGGGCGUCGACCGGCGCACGGGUGAGUAACGCGUAUCCAACCUGCCCACCACUUGGGGAUAACCUUGCGAAAGUAAGACUAAUACCCAAUGAUAUCUCUAGAAGACAUCUGAAGGAGAUUAAAGAUUUAUCGGUGAUGGAUGGGGAUGCGUCUGAUUAGCUUGUUGGCGGGGUAACGGCCCACCAAGGCGACGAUCAGUAGGGGUUCUGAGAGGAAGGUCCCCCACAUUGGAACUGAGACACGGUCCAAACUCCUACGGGAGGCAGCAGUGAGGAAUAUUGGUCAAUGGGCGAGAGCCUGAACCAGCCAAGUAGCGUGAAGGAUGACGGCCCUACGGGUUGUAAACUUCUUUUGUGCGGGAAUAAAGGAGCCUACGUGUAGGCUUUUGCAUGUACCGUAACGAAUAAGCAUCGGCUAACUCCGUGCCAGCAGCCGCGGUAAUACGGAGGAUGCGAGCGUUACCCGGAUUUAUUGGGUUUAAAGGGAGCGUAGACGGGUUUUUAAGUCAGCUGUGAAAGUUUGGGGCUCAACCUUAAAAUUGCAGUUGAAACUGGAGACCUUGAGUACGGUUGAGGCAGGCGGAAUUCGUGGUGUAGCGGUGAAAUGCUUAGAUAUCACGA
This 684-nucleotide ribosomal RNA is filed under the name uncultured bacterium. Its description in RNAcentral is "bacterial SSU rRNA". It matches the Rfam family "Bacterial small subunit ribosomal RNA", at positions 32 to 702 of the family's 1533-position model. The record is from RNAcentral.